GGAUAUCAAUCCUGACUCGGCAUUGGGAAAACCCUCACAGAUACCUGUUGACUUCACUGGGGAAACACUCACAGAGACUCUGCUAGGGGAAUAGCAAUCUCCAGACUCAUCUGGGGAAACAUCACUCUAUCACCUGCUGGGGAUAACCAUCCUGACCCGGCUAGGGAAACGCAUACUACUCCGCUGGGGAUACCCAUGCAAUCCAUAGGUAGAAUCAACUCAGCUGGAGAUGCAAACAUCCGUCCGCUACGGGAACUCGUUC
Molecule: long non-coding RNA, 262 nt
Filed under: Lathyrus oleraceus (garden pea)
Lineage: Eukaryota; Viridiplantae; Streptophyta; Magnoliopsida; Fabales; Fabaceae
Description: Pisum sativum (pea) long non-coding RNA (PSAT_LNC034794)
Source: RNAcentral